CUGCACCGAUCUAAGAGGUUCAGGAAAAGAAAUUAGGAUUUUGAAGAGAACCAUACAGAUGUGAAGAAACAUGCUUAGAAUCUCAUAGAUCAUAUUCAAUAUAGGACGAUCUUACUUGGAAUCACACUAGAAUAGCCUGAAACAGGUGAAAAUGCUAUCAAAGAUGCAAACCAACUAGCCUUGGUCCCUUGAGGAACCUGGAGAUGGCAAGACUAAUGCGAGGGAGGCCAUUGGAGGCCUGAGAGGUGGUGAGGAACCACCAUAGAUAGCCAUAGGUGAGUGUCGACGAGGUUUUAUUAAGGUUAGGUUUGAGAGUGUUUGAGAACAG
This 328-nucleotide long non-coding RNA is filed under the name Nicotiana benthamiana. RNAcentral describes it as "long non-coding RNA (NBEN_LNC041743)". The record is from RNAcentral. Lineage: Eukaryota; Viridiplantae; Streptophyta; Magnoliopsida; Solanales; Solanaceae.